GAGAGGAAGGUCCCCCACACUGGUACUGAGACACGGACCAGACUCCUACGGGAGGCAGCAGUGAGGAAUAUUGGUCAAUGGGCGAAAGCCUGAACCAGCCAAGUAGCGA
This 109-nucleotide ribosomal RNA is filed under the name uncultured bacterium. RNAcentral describes it as "partial 16S ribosomal RNA". It matches the Rfam family "Bacterial small subunit ribosomal RNA", at positions 294 to 402 of the family's 1533-position model. The record is from RNAcentral.